This is a long non-coding RNA of Priapulus caudatus, 421 nucleotides long. RefSeq lists it as uncharacterized. The transcript is spliced from 3 exons. Lineage: Eukaryota; Metazoa; Priapulida; Priapulimorpha; Priapulimorphida; Priapulidae. The record is from RefSeq and is a predicted model, not a curated record.
CAUACCAGCAGUUGUUGUCUUGUUGCUGCUAGCUUAAUAUUAGCACGCCGUCACUCACUCACUCAUUCACUCAUUCACUAAGUUAGUUGAUCGUCAUGUCUUCCACGCUGGUCAGAUCGUCUCGUCUGCUACAAAAAUCCUCCCAUCUUUGUGCAGAGAUGGUUUCGUGUCCCGCGGCUACGCCGUCGCCGCGGCAACCCUAUACCCGGAGGAGCCGGCGGGGCCGACGAUGAAGACGGCGUUGCCUGGACCGAGGUCGCAGGAACUGAAGAAACAGCUGGACAAAAUACAGAACACGGGAGCCGUGAGCGUGUUCGUUGACUUUGAGAAGAGCCGAGGAAACUACAUGGUCGACGUGGACGGCAACGAGAUGCUUGAUCUCUUCACACAGAUCUCCUCCCUCCCUCUCGGUGAGUGACAG